CGGACCCGCACAGCGGUGGAUCAUUGUUGUUUAAUUCGAUGAUACGCGAAGAACCUUACCAGGUCUUGACAUCCCCCCGCAAUGCUAUGGAGAACAUAGCGGAGGUAGUUCGGGGAGACAGGUGGUGCAUGGUUGUCGUCAGCUCGUGUCGUGAGAUGUUGGGUUAAGUCCCGCAACGAGCGCAACCUCGUGAUUAGUUGCUGCCUAGCAGAACUCUAAUCAGACUGCCGUAGUUAAUACGGAGGAAGGUGAGGAUGACGUCAAAUCAUCAUGUCCCUUAUGUCUUGGGCUACACACGUACUACAAUGACUACUACAAAGAGAAGCGAGACCGCGAGGUGGAGCAAAACUGUAAAAAGUAGUCCUAGUUCGGAUUGCAGGCUGAAACUCGCCUGCAUGAAGCUGGAAUUGCUAGUAAUCACAGGUCAGCAUACUGUGGUGAAUACGUUCCCGGGCCUU
Molecule: ribosomal RNA, 458 nt
Filed under: uncultured Oscillospiraceae bacterium
Lineage: Bacteria; Bacillati; Bacillota; Clostridia; Eubacteriales; Oscillospiraceae
Description: bacterial SSU rRNA
Rfam family: Bacterial small subunit ribosomal RNA
Source: RNAcentral